Molecule: long non-coding RNA, 1524 nt
Organism: Anastrepha ludens (Mexican fruit fly)
Lineage: Eukaryota; Metazoa; Arthropoda; Insecta; Diptera; Tephritidae
Exons: 3
Source: RefSeq, a predicted model, not a curated record
GGCCUUCGGCCGCGCUUCAAAAAAAUAACCCUCAUCAGUCCAACUCCGGCUACGCAAUCCACAGUAUUUUUGCGUAGAACUCCUUUUCGCGUGAGCGGCCUUCGGCCGCGCUUCAAAAAAAUAACCCUCAUCAGCCCAACUCCGGCUACGCAAUGCACAGUAUUUUUGCGUAGAACUCCUUUUCGCGUUAAAACCAUUGAACCCAAAAUUAAAACGUCAUAUGCGUGUAUGUAGUAAGCAGGCACAAUAACCCCCAUUCCCAUCAUUAACACUAAACUCAAGUACUUAAUUUUUGUUUUCAUUUGCAGGCAUCCGGCAACACCAUACUGUUGUAAUUCCAAUCUUCUUCUUGUUCGCGCUUAAAAUUGGAAUGUGAUUGCAUAGGCAAAUGAAUUUGCAUUUAAUUUUAAUAGAUAUAAUUAGAAUAUUAGCAUAAAAAUCGGUAAAAACACGCGUGGGAGUGUAUAUUUGGUGAAUUUUAGUGAAAUGUUAAAAAAUAUAGUGUAAUGUGGCAAAUUAUAGUGAAGUUCCCGAGGGCAUUUUGAAUGUUACAUUAGGUUAGAAUGGCUGCCCUUGCGAGAGGCCCACCUGGACGAAUAAUCGUUACCAUACAGGCGUGGGAGCGUGAGGAAAUCAGAAGAAAAUAAGCACCAGACAGUUGAAAAAAGGAGCUUUGGAUUAGAUUAUGACGACCAACACUGGCUAAUUACGUUCGUAUUGCCCGCUUCAAGCUACAGAUGAAUUUAAACCCGCAAUAUCCGCAGGUGCAGCGAAAAAGUGAGAGCCCAGAUAUGUAAAUCAUUGUCGCCCGAGAGCAGGGUGCUUAGAUGAUUUCGCCCCGUUUUCCACACAGCUUCUACAAAAAGAACUUGAAGCAAUCCCAACUCACCGCAUAGACAACUAACGGACAAAGUCAGGUAAGGAUGCCUACCAAAUUCGAGAGCUGCGGCUUUGUUAACUUUAAAAGUACCCACGAGCAUCCCCGAUCCGCCCAUGGCCAAAAGGAUCUCGCGACUUUGCACAUUUACGCACUGUCCCAGCGCUCACUGAGUUGACGCGAGUAGCAGACGACAGGGGAACCCCAAUUCUUUCAUUUUGCGAUGCAACCGUCUACAGAGUCCCCUGUCUUGCCGGCUCAGCAGUUUCCCACUAUGCCGCUUUUAUCCCAAAUGGAAAUAAGUCAGGUAUCCCCUUCUAAUUUUAUAUGCACAAACGACGAGCUGAAGGCCGUAAAUUCCGCUUGACUGUCGGAGUAGAUAUUUACGUCAUUUAGUUUAAUUACAGAAGUCAGCGUUGAGCUCGAUGCCGAACUCCUCGUUUCCACGACGGUCGGUUGUACGUUACCGAAACAACCCGGAUUUAUAUACGGCCAAGGUCUGUCACCCCAGCAGCACUCCCCGUAUAAUGCACCCUCUUCCGUCCAACUUCGAGUCAUCCCUAACAUAUUGGCCAAGCCCUGACUCCAAUGCUGCAACCCGCCCAUUCCUCGCUUCCUCGCUUGAGGUAAUAUGAAUGGAAAAAAAC